AUUGAACGCUGGCGGCACGCUUAACACAUGCAAGUCGAACGGCAGCAUUGUAUGUAGCAAUACAUACAGAUGGCGAGUGGCGGACGGGUGAGUAAAACGUAGGAACCCAACCUCAAGAGGGGGACAACCAAGGGAAACUUUGGCUAAUACCGCAUAACUCUGAGGAGAAAAGUUGCCAGCAAUGGUGACGUUUGAGGAGGGGCCUGCGUCCGAUUAGCUAGUUGGUUAGGUAAGAGCUAAACAAGGCGAUGAUCGGUAACUGGUCUGAGAGGACGACCAGUCACACUGGGACUGAGACACGGCCCAGACUCCUACGGGAGGCAGCAGUGGGGAAUCUUGGACAAUGGGGGCAACCCUGAUCCAGCGAUGCCGCGUGGGUGAAGAAGGCCUUCGGGUUGUAAAGCCCUUUAGGUCGGGAAGAAGAUUGCAGGUUGAUAAUGCCUGCAUGAUGACGGUACCGACAGAAUAAGCACCGGCAAACUCUGUGCCAGCCGCCGCCGUAA
This 503-nucleotide ribosomal RNA is filed under the name uncultured bacterium. RNAcentral describes it as "partial 16S ribosomal RNA". It matches the Rfam family "Bacterial small subunit ribosomal RNA", at positions 30 to 523 of the family's 1533-position model. The record is from RNAcentral.